AGUGAACGCUGGCGGUAGGCCUAACACAUGCCAGUCGAACGGCAGCACAGUAAGAGCUUGCUCUUACGGGUGGCGAGUGGCGGACGGGUGAGGAAUACAUCGGAAUCUACUUUUUCGUGGGGGAUAACGUAGGGAAACUUACGCUAAUGCCGCAUACGACCUACGGGUGAAAGCAGGGGAUCUUCGGACCUUGCGCGAUUGAAUGAGCCGAUGUCGGAUUAGCUAGUUGGCGGGGUAAAGGCCCACCAAGGCGACGAUCCGUAGCUGGUCUGAGAGGAUGAUCAGCCACACUGGAACUGAGGCACGGUCCAGACUCCUACGGGAGGCAGCAGUGGGGAAUAUUGGACAAUGGGCGCAAGCCUGAUCCAGCCAUACCGCGUGGGUGAAGAAGGCCUUCGGGUUGUAAAGCCCUUUUGUUGGGAAAGAAAAGCAGCAGGUUAAUACCCCGCUGUUCUGACGGUACCCAAAGAAUAAGCACCGGCUAACUUCGUG
RNAcentral lists this ribosomal RNA (492 nucleotides) under uncultured bacterium. RNAcentral describes it as "partial 16S ribosomal RNA". It matches the Rfam family "Bacterial small subunit ribosomal RNA", at positions 29 to 507 of the family's 1533-position model. The record is from RNAcentral.